GUCUUAUCUACAUUUUCCCUCCAAUUCCGAACUUCCCAAUCUUUCAGAAUAUCUAAUCACAUCCUAUUUUUAUAUUUCUUCCUAUAAUGCGUAACAGAGGAUUUGUCAAAACAAAGAUUUAUGAGAAAGAUACACAAAAUUGAGUGAGAAAGGGAUCUAGAUUGAGGCCCAAAAAAUGUUGAAAUCCAUCGUGAAAAUGUUGGUUCAAAAAUGCAAUAGAAGGAAAGCUACCAAAGAAUUCCACUUGAAAGCAAAUGAGGCAGGAAUGAGAGGUCAUUGAAGAACUCUCCUUUUGCAGAGAGGUUUUAAUUUAGGGAUUUUAUAUGAUUGAUCUUACCAUUUUACCCUUGAGUUAAUUUGUUAAAUAUAGUUAAUGUUUUUUUAAAAUCCUAUGUGUCAUGUGGGACUCACCCAUAAAUAAUAAAAUAUAAUGGGUGUCAUGCCACAACAGCAGAUAAAAUUUAAUCAAAUUUUCAAAAUUUGAUCAAUUGAUUCAAAAUUACAAGAUUUGGAUUAAAACGCCAAAAGUUGUAAAAGUUUGGAUUUUUAGCACCAUUAAUCGCCUAAAAAAUAGCUCCAAACAUUUCACUUCCGUGAUACAAGGUAAAAUAGAUAUUAAAAAUUUCAGAAAGAAAAUAUAUAAUUGUUAAUAGCUCUUACAGAAAGAAAUACAUUGAUA
RNAcentral lists this unclassified non-coding RNA (679 nucleotides) under Hevea brasiliensis (rubber tree). Lineage: Eukaryota; Viridiplantae; Streptophyta; Magnoliopsida; Malpighiales; Euphorbiaceae. The record is from RNAcentral.